RNAcentral lists this ribosomal RNA (407 nucleotides) under uncultured bacterium. RNAcentral's name for it is "partial 16S ribosomal RNA". It matches the Rfam family "Bacterial small subunit ribosomal RNA", at positions 28 to 526 of the family's 1533-position model. The record is from RNAcentral.
GACGAACGCUGGCGGCGUGCUUAACACAUGCAAGUCGAACGAAGUGGCGAACGGGUGAGUAACGCGUCAUCAACCUGCCCUUCAGAGGGGGACAACAGUUGGAAACGACUGCUAAUACCGCAUACGGAAGGAGGGGAUUGCGUCGGAUUAGCUAGUUGGAGGGGUAACGGCCCACCAAGGCGAUGAUCAGUAGCCGGUCUGAGAGGAUGACCGGCAACAUUGGGACGGAGACACGGCCCAGACUCCUACGGGAGGCAGCAGUGGGGAAUCUUCCGCAAUGGACGAAAGUCUGACGGAGCAACGCCGCGUGAGUGAUGACGGCCUUCGGGUUGUAAAGCUCUGUUAUUCGGGACGCGGUACCGGAGUAGAAAGCCACGCCUAACUACGUGCCAGCAGCGGCGGUAUAC